RNAcentral lists this long non-coding RNA (575 nucleotides) under Ananas comosus (pineapple). RNAcentral's name for it is "long non-coding RNA (ACOM_LNC004595)". Lineage: Eukaryota; Viridiplantae; Streptophyta; Magnoliopsida; Poales; Bromeliaceae. The record is from RNAcentral.
AUUAUUAGUUAAGAUUUGUCCCAAGAGUUUGGUUGGUAUGCUUAUGGAAGCACGGAGGCCUUCGUGCUUUCAAGUUGUUUUCGAUGUUCGAAUUUUCGAAUCGACGAUCGGUUCCGUUAGAGUUGAUUUAGAGUAUUUGAAGUACCUAGAAAAUAAAUUUUACGAUUUUUCGAUAUCAUUUGCCUAGUGAUCGAAGGGGCUCAAAAUUAAUUAUUUUAAUAGCCGUAGUGAGCCGAUUGCAAGCUUAACGGUGUAGAAAUAUCCAAAUCACGUGAAAUUUUGAUAGAAAAUUCUUUAUACUAUAUAAAAUAAGAUCAAUAUCUUUGAUCUAAAUUUUUAAUGUCAUAUCAUCACAUUUUGUGAGAUUUUUAUUUUCAACCGUUGAUUUGAGCCCCUUCGAUCACUAGGCAAAUGAUAUCGAAAAAUAACAAAAUUUAUUUUCUACGUAUUUUAAAUACUCUAGAUCAAGUCUAACAGAGCUGAUCGUCGAUUCGAAAGUCCCAACAUUGAAAAUAACUUGAAAGUACGGAGGCCUCCUUGCUUUCCUAAGCAUACUAGCCGCACUCUUGUCCCAC